RNAcentral lists this transfer RNA (70 nucleotides) under Engystomops randi. RNAcentral's name for it is "tRNA-Val". It matches the Rfam family "tRNA". From Rfam's summary of the family: Transfer RNA (tRNA) molecules are approximately 80 nucleotides in length. Their secondary structure includes four short double-helical elements and three loops (D, anti-codon, and T loops). The record is from RNAcentral. Lineage: Eukaryota; Metazoa; Chordata; Amphibia; Anura; Leptodactylidae.
CGAAACGUAGCUUAAUUAAAGCAUCUCGCUUACACCGAGAAAAUGUGUGUGAAAACCAAACCGAUUCGAG